RNAcentral lists this long non-coding RNA (673 nucleotides) under Rattus norvegicus (Norway rat). Its description in RNAcentral is "long non-coding RNA NONRATT012027". Lineage: Eukaryota; Metazoa; Chordata; Mammalia; Rodentia; Muridae. The record is from RNAcentral.
GUUUCGCACGGGGGCAGGAGCGGGACAGAAGAGAGGCGGGCGGGGACCGGAGGGAAAGUGGCCGCGGACAACUUUGCCGGGAAAGCGGGCGACCUCGAGUAGAGAUGGGGCGACCUCCGUAUCCUCGGCCAGCUCCGGGGCACGGAGGACCUUGGGUCCUGCAGCCCAGCUGCCGUUGUCACCCGCGGAGGGGAGCACCGGGUGGCCUCCAGCCGGAACAGCGACGCGGAGGGCAGCCCCGCGCGGGAGGGUGAGGGACAGCCGCCUGUGUGUCGCGGCCCGGGGAGGGACGCUGAGCCCGGGGACACCCCGCCCCAGAUGCCCCCUCACCGUCCGGCGGGACCCGCGACUACUCCGGAGAAGCCGGGUAGCGGCGAGCAGAGCCCAGGAUGCGAGCGCGGCAGAGCGGAGAGCCAGCGCCGCCGCCGCAGGACCACGUACCUUGAGCUCCUGGAUGUCCAGGUCCGUGGAUCUGUCCAUGGAGCGAAACUAAAGGAAGUGGAGAGGAACCGGCCAAGUUGCUCCCCGAACCGAUCUAGUCUUUUAGUUUCCAGCUGAAACUCAGCUUUAUCCUCCUCCAAGCCCUGGCAGCUUCUCUCAGUCUCAUUCUCCGUGGUCUCGCAGCCUCCACCGGUUAAAAAUAAUAUAAAUAAAUAAAUAUUAAUGAUAAUUC